Molecule: ribosomal RNA, 254 nt
Filed under: uncultured bacterium
Lineage: Bacteria
Description: partial 16S ribosomal RNA
Rfam family: Bacterial small subunit ribosomal RNA
Source: RNAcentral
UACGAAGGGGGGCUAGCGUUGCUCGGAAUCACUGGGCGUAAAGCGCACGUAGGCGGGUCCUUAAGUCAGGGGUGAAAUCCUGGAGCUCAACUCCAGAACUGCCUUUGAUACUGAGGAUCUCGAGUUCGGGAGAGGUGAGUGGAACUGCGAGUGUAGAGGUGAAAUUCGUAGAUAUUCGCAAGAACACCAGUGGCGAAGGCGGCUCACUGGCCCGAUACUGACGCUGAGGUGCGAAAGCGUGGGGAGCAAACAGG